This 273-nucleotide ribosomal RNA is filed under the name Xanthomonas citri pv. citri. RNAcentral's name for it is "partial 23S ribosomal RNA". It matches the Rfam family "Bacterial large subunit ribosomal RNA", at positions 1105 to 1377 of the family's 2925-position model. The record is from RNAcentral. Lineage: Bacteria; Pseudomonadati; Pseudomonadota; Gammaproteobacteria; Lysobacterales; Lysobacteraceae.
CUUAGAAGCAGCCAUCAUUUAAAGAAAGCGUAAUAGCUCACUGGUCGAGUCGGCCUGCGCGGAAGAUGUAACGGGGCUAAACCAUGCACCGAAGCUGCGGCAGCGACACUAUGUGUUGUUGGGUAGGGGAGCGUUCUGUAAGCCUGUGAAGGUGGCCUGUGAGGGUUGCUGGAGGUAUCAGAAGUGCGAAUGCUGACAUAAGUAACGAUAAAGCGGGUGAAAAGCCCGCUCGCCGGAAGACCAAGGGUUCCUGUCCAACGUUAAUCGGGGCAG